This 254-nucleotide ribosomal RNA is filed under the name uncultured bacterium. Its description in RNAcentral is "partial 16S ribosomal RNA". It matches the Rfam family "Bacterial small subunit ribosomal RNA", at positions 524 to 776 of the family's 1533-position model. The record is from RNAcentral.
UACGUAGGAUCCAAGCGUUAUCCGGAAUCACUGGGCGUAAAGCGUGCGUAGGCGGCGUGUUAAGUGAGAUGCGAAAUCUGGUGGCUCAACCAUCUAGACUGUAUUUCAUACUGGCAUGCUAGAGAGAGGCAGAGGUAAGUGGAAUUGAUAGUGUAGCAGUGAAAUGCGUAGAUAUUAUCAGGAACACCAAUGGCGAAGGCAGCUUACUGGGCCUUUUCUGACGCUGAGGUACGAAAGCGUGGGGAUCAAACAGG